Erigeron canadensis is the source of this 497-nucleotide long non-coding RNA. RefSeq lists it as uncharacterized. The transcript is spliced from 2 exons. Lineage: Eukaryota; Viridiplantae; Streptophyta; Magnoliopsida; Asterales; Asteraceae. The record is from RefSeq and is a predicted model, not a curated record.
CUUCUUGCUACUUCAAUUCCCUCCCAAGGCAGGGACUUUUGUGUCCUCUCGUUUGUUUUGCGGCCAAACGAGUGCAUGUGUACCCACUCCCCAAAAUAAAGUGUGGUUUAAAUGGGUCAACUACUUGUUAUUUAGGUCUAUAUAAAUCAAAUCGUAAUGCAUAGAUCGAGCAACACAUAUCUAAGAAUAUAUCCCAAAAUGAAAUCCUCCAAUGGUUUUACUUUGUUCUUGAUUGUUUUGUUUUCAGUUAUGCUCAUUUCUUCUUCAGGAAGAACCCAUCCUACAACAACCGUCCAGUCCAAAACACAGAAACAACCCAAAGGAGAUAAUAAAAGUGAAGCAGAAAAUGUAGCACAUACCAAUGGUGGAUGGGGCGGCUGUUCUGGUUGUUGGCCCCCGAAUCAAAAUAAUCGUCGUCUUCGAUAAACUAUAUCAUAUCAUGGAUGUACUCCUAAUAUAAUAUGAAUAAACGUACGAUGUCAAAAAUUCGAUCUGAA